RNAcentral lists this unclassified non-coding RNA (336 nucleotides) under soil metagenome. RNAcentral's name for it is "partial contains 5.8S ribosomal RNA, internal transcribed spacer 2, and large subunit ribosomal RNA". The stretch from base 1 to 120 matches the Rfam family "5.8S ribosomal RNA", at positions 35 to 154 of the family's 154-position model. The record is from RNAcentral.
GAUGAAGAACGUAUCGAAAUGCGAUAAGUAAUGUGAAUUGCAGAAUUCAGUGAAUCAUCGAAUCUUUGAACGCACAUUGCGCCCGCCAGUAUUCUGGCGGGCAUGCCUGUUCGAGCGUCAUUUCAACCAUCAAGCCCCCGGCUUGUGUUGGGGACCUGCGGCUGCCGCAGGCCCUGAAAAGCAGUGGCGGGCUCGCUGUCACACCGAGCGUAGUAGCAUACAUCUCGCUCUGGGCGUGCUGCGGGUUCCGGCCGUUAAACCACCUUCAUAACCCAAGGUUGACCUCGGAUCAGGUAGGAAGACCCGCUGAACUUAAGCAUAUCAAUAAGCGGAGGA